RNAcentral lists this ribosomal RNA (253 nucleotides) under uncultured bacterium. RNAcentral describes it as "partial 16S ribosomal RNA". It matches the Rfam family "Bacterial small subunit ribosomal RNA", at positions 524 to 776 of the family's 1533-position model. The record is from RNAcentral.
UACGUAGGGUGCAAGCGUUAAUCGGAAUUACUGGGCGUAAAGCGUGCGUAGACGGUUGUCUAAGUCGGAUGUGAAAUCCCCGGGCUCAACCUGGGAAUUGCAUUCGAGACUGAAUAGCUAGGGUGCGGAAGAGGGAAGCGGAAUUUCCGGUGUAGCGGUGAAAUGCGUAGAUAUCGGAAGGAACAUCAGUGGCGAAGGCGGCUUCCUGGUCCAGCACCGACGUUCAGGCACGAAAGCGUGGGGAGCAAACAGG